UACGUAGGGGGCUAGCGUUGUCCGGAAUCAUUGGGCGUAAAGCGCGUGUAGGCGGCCCGGUAAGUCCGCUGUGAAAGUCGGGGGCUCAACCCUCGGAUGCCGGUGGAUACUGUCGGGCUAGAGUGCGGAAGAGGCGAGUGGAAUUCCUGGUGUAGCGGUGAAAUGCGCAGAUAUCAGGAGGAACACCAGUGGCGAAGGCGACACGCUGGGCCGUACCUGACACUGAUGCGCGACAGCAUGGGGAGCAAACAGG
RNAcentral lists this ribosomal RNA (253 nucleotides) under uncultured bacterium. Its description in RNAcentral is "partial 16S ribosomal RNA". It matches the Rfam family "Bacterial small subunit ribosomal RNA", at positions 524 to 776 of the family's 1533-position model. The record is from RNAcentral.